RNAcentral lists this ribosomal RNA (484 nucleotides) under uncultured Variovorax sp. RNAcentral's name for it is "bacterial SSU rRNA". It matches the Rfam family "Bacterial small subunit ribosomal RNA", at positions 30 to 507 of the family's 1533-position model. The record is from RNAcentral. Lineage: Bacteria; Pseudomonadati; Pseudomonadota; Betaproteobacteria; Burkholderiales; Comamonadaceae.
AUUGAACGCUGGCGGCAUGCCUUACACAUGCAAGUCGAACGGCAGCACGGGAGCAAUCCUGGUGGCGAGUGGCGAACGGGUGAGUAAUACAUCGGAACGUGCCCAAUCGUGGGGGAUAACGCAGCGAAAGCUGUGCUAAUACCGCAUAAGAUCUACGGAUGAAAGCAGGGGAUCGCAAGACCUUGCGCGAAUGGAGCGGCCGAUGGCAGAUUAGGUAGUUGGUGAGGUAAAGGCUCACCAAGCCUUCGAUCUGUAGCUGGUCUGAGAGGACGACCAGCCACACUGGGACUGAGACACGGCCCAGACUCCUACGGGAGGCAGCAGUGGGGAAUUUUGGACAAUGGGCGCAAGCCUGAUCCAGCCAUGCCGCGUGCAGGAUGAAGGCCUUCGGGUUGUAAACUGCUUUUGUACGGAACGAAAAGGUUCUUUCUAAUAAAGAGAGCUCAUGACGGUACCGUAAGAAUAAGCACCGGCUAACUACGUG